GGGUCGGUAGCUCAGUGGUCAGUUCAUGAUGCGAGAGACAGUCUGGAAACUAUAUCUGACAUCUCAGAAAGGUAGAGCGAAAGAUUGCAGAUCUUUAGGUCACGUGUUCGAACCACGUUCGGCCCU
RNAcentral lists this transfer RNA (126 nucleotides) under Rhinocladiella mackenziei CBS 650.93. RNAcentral describes it as "tRNA-Cys (GCA) (tRNA-Cys-GCA-1-1)". The stretch from base 56 to 122 matches the Rfam family "tRNA". From Rfam's summary of the family: Transfer RNA (tRNA) molecules are approximately 80 nucleotides in length. Lineage: Eukaryota; Fungi; Ascomycota; Eurotiomycetes; Chaetothyriales; Herpotrichiellaceae. The record is from RNAcentral.